This 561-nucleotide long non-coding RNA is filed under the name Oreochromis niloticus (Nile tilapia). RNAcentral describes it as "lncRNA (ENSONIG00000027988.1)". Lineage: Eukaryota; Metazoa; Chordata; Actinopteri; Cichliformes; Cichlidae. The record is from RNAcentral.
AUGUCUGUCAUUGCUGGCUGGUCUAUUUAUAAAGGCUUGUUAACAAAUAUCCUACAAACACAGAAAAUGGAGAAAAAAAGGACUCGCAAGCCGAACUGGACUGAGGAGCAAGGUUUGUUGCUGGCCCAGUUGGUGAACGAACAUAAAGGUAUGUUACGAGGAAAAUUUGGCCCAACUGUCACUAGCCAAAGCAAGAGGCGCGCCUGGGACACAAAAUCCCAAACAAUCAAUGCCUCUUUUCCACUGGUGGCGCGGACAGGCGACGAUUGUGAGAAAAGGUGGUAUGUGCUGCAGUCCAAGGCAAAAGAUGAGAUUGCAGCACACAAGCGGGAAUCCUCACUCACAGGGGGUGGACCACCCGCAAAGCUGCUGUCCCAGGUGGCCGACACUGUCUUUCAAGUCCUGGGACACUCUGAGGUCAGUGUCACCGGGCUGCCAACAGGCAUUGACACAUCAAUGAUGCAGGCCCUUGAAGUGCAGCAAAGCAUGGAGCCAUCACAAGAACCGGGCCCAUCAAGUUUGCCGAUGAGAUUGCCUUCAGGAGGAGUACUACCGCCUUAA